CACGUAGGCGGAUUGUUAAGUCGGGGGUGAAAUCCUGGAGCUCAACUCCAGAACUGCCUUCGAUACUGGCGAUCUCGAGUUCGGGAGAGGUGAGUGGAACUGCGAGUGUAGAGGUGAAAUUCGUAGAUAUUCGCAAGAACACCAGUGGCGAAGGCGGCUCACUGGCCCGAUACUGACGCUGAGGUGCGAAAGCGUGGGAGCAAACA
This 206-nucleotide ribosomal RNA is filed under the name uncultured bacterium. RNAcentral describes it as "partial 16S ribosomal RNA". It matches the Rfam family "Bacterial small subunit ribosomal RNA", at positions 568 to 774 of the family's 1533-position model. The record is from RNAcentral.